Molecule: long non-coding RNA, 568 nt
Filed under: Homo sapiens (human)
Lineage: Eukaryota; Metazoa; Chordata; Mammalia; Primates; Hominidae
Description: HSALNT0064793
Source: RNAcentral
ACAAGUAAAAACUUGAGCUAGGGAGGAACCUUGGAUAUUCAGUCUACAUCUCAAACAGCAUAGCUGCCAAAAAUGAGGCCUGUCCAUUAAAGUGGAGGAGAUAUCCUUGCUGAUGGCAAAAACUGCUUUUUCUUUUUGGGACGGAAUCUUGCUCUGUCGCUCGGGUUGGAGUGCAGUGGCGCCAUCUCAGCUCACCAAAACCUCCACCUCCUGAGUUCAAGUAAUUCUCUGCCUCAGCCUCACGAGUAGCUGACAGGCGCCCACCUCCACGCCCGGCUAAUUUUUGUAUUUUUAGUAGAGAUGGGGUUGCAAUGAGCCAAAAUCACACCACUGUACACUCCAGCCUGGGUGACAGAGUGAGACUCUGUCUUUAAAAAAAAAAAAAAAGGAACAUUAACUGCAAUAUUCUUGAUGAUGCAAAUUUUUAAAAACUAAAUCCAGCCAGAUUUUUCAGCCUUAAAAACUAAGAUCCAAACUAUUCAACAUCUCUACAAAUUAUAUACUCAUUGAAUUCAGGAACAAUAACAGAAUUCAACAAUCAGCUCAACUUAAACUGUAAGUAAACAAA